RNAcentral lists this ribosomal RNA (372 nucleotides) under uncultured prokaryote. RNAcentral describes it as "bacterial SSU rRNA". It matches the Rfam family "Bacterial small subunit ribosomal RNA", at positions 524 to 896 of the family's 1533-position model. The record is from RNAcentral.
UACGUAGGGUGCAAGCGUUAAUCGGAAUUACUGGGCGUAAAGCGAGCGCAGGCGGUUAUGUAAGACAGAUGUGAAAUCCCCGGGCUUAACCUGGGAACUGCAUUUGUGACUGCAUGGCUAGAGUGCGUCAGAGGGGGGUGGAAUUCCACGUGUAGCAGUGAAAUGCGUAGAGAUGUGGAGGAACACCGAUGGCGAAGGCAGCCCCCUGGGAUGACACUGACGCUCAUGCUCGAAAGCGUGGGGAGCAAACAGGAUUAGAUACCCUGGUAGUCCACGCCCUAAACGAUGUCUACUAGUUGUCGGGCCUUAAUUGGCUUGGUAACGCAGCUAACGCGUGAAGUAGACCGCCUGGGGAGUACGGUCGCAAGAUUA